UACGGGGGGAGCAAGCGUUGUUCGGAUUUACUGGGCGUAAAGGGCGCGUAGGCGGCCAGCACAAGUCAGUUGUGAAAUCUCUGAGCUUAACUCGGAAAGGUCAACUGAUACUGUGCGGCUAGAGUGCGGAAGGGGCAACUGGAAUUCUUGGUGUAGCGGUGAAAUGCGUAGAUAUCAAGAGGAACACCUGCGGCGAAGGCGGGUUGCUGGGCCGACACUGACGCUGAGGCGCGAAAGCCAGGGGAGCGAACAGG
RNAcentral lists this ribosomal RNA (254 nucleotides) under uncultured bacterium. RNAcentral's name for it is "partial 16S ribosomal RNA". It matches the Rfam family "Bacterial small subunit ribosomal RNA", at positions 524 to 776 of the family's 1533-position model. The record is from RNAcentral.